GCCGAACAUCUCGUCAAGUUUACCCAGUCCUGGAAGCAUCAGUUUCCUUUGAGUCCAGCCAUACAAUACUACAUGAUCAUGCUUCAACAAGGCUGAGCAGUGUCCAGCCCCAAUGAACAUUGCAUUAUUAAAAACAAACAAACAACAACAAUAACAAAAUCUAAACCCA
This is a long non-coding RNA of Mastomys coucha (southern multimammate mouse), 169 nucleotides long. RefSeq lists it as uncharacterized. Lineage: Eukaryota; Metazoa; Chordata; Mammalia; Rodentia; Muridae. The record is from RefSeq and is a predicted model, not a curated record. The transcript has 2 exons.